RNAcentral lists this unclassified non-coding RNA (327 nucleotides) under plant metagenome. RNAcentral's name for it is "partial contains small subunit ribosomal RNA, internal transcribed spacer 1, and 5.8S ribosomal RNA". The record is from RNAcentral.
UUUCCGUAGGUGAACCUGCGGAAGGAUCAUUAACGAAUGACUAUGGUGUCUUGGUUGUCGCUGGCUCCUCGGAGCAUCGUGCACGCCCGCCAUUUUUAUCUAUCCACCUGUGCACCGAAUGUAGGUCUGGAUGACUCUCGUCUCCGGGCGGAUGCGAGGUUUGCGUGUGCGUAGCGCGUUCAUGCGCGUUGCGUACGGGCCCUCCUCGAAUUUCCAGACUCUACGUCUUUUUACACGCCCCAAACGUAUGAUGCAGAAUGUAGUCAAUGGGCCUUUAAAAGCCUAUAAAGCACUAUACAACUUUCAGCAACGGAUCUCUUGGCUCUC